This 253-nucleotide ribosomal RNA is filed under the name uncultured bacterium. Its description in RNAcentral is "partial 16S ribosomal RNA". It matches the Rfam family "Bacterial small subunit ribosomal RNA", at positions 524 to 776 of the family's 1533-position model. The record is from RNAcentral.
UACGUAGGGUGCGAGCGUUGUCCGGAAUUAUUGGGCGUAAAGGGCUCGUAGGCGGUUUGUCGCGUCGGGAGUGAAAUCCACUGGCUUAACUGGUGGCUUGCUUUCGAUACGGGCAGACUGGAGGUAUGCAGGGGAGAACGUAAUUCCUGGUGUAGCGGUGAAAUGCGCAGAUAUCAGGAGGAACACCGGUGGCGAAGGCGGUUCUCUGGGCAUGUCCUGACGCUGAGGAGCGAAAGUGUGGGGAGCGAACGGG